CACAAAAGCAGAAUUAUCUGGACAAAAGUGAGGAGAAUAUUCCUUCUAUUAAUGAUUACUCUCAGCCUCAACAUACUAGAACUGUGCUAGAUGUGUCUUAUAUGUCAUGCAAAUCGGUGCAAUUUGGGACUGUGGACAAUGCAGUAUGUGUUGAAGAGACAAAAGAAACUCAGCAGGAUGUUAUAGACAGUUGUAAGGAAGGUGCCAAGUCAACUAUCUCAGUUUUGAUUGAUAGCAUUGAGG
Molecule: unclassified non-coding RNA, 243 nt
Filed under: Hevea brasiliensis (rubber tree)
Lineage: Eukaryota; Viridiplantae; Streptophyta; Magnoliopsida; Malpighiales; Euphorbiaceae
Source: RNAcentral